UUUGAUCCUGGCUCAGAUUGAACGCUGGCGGCAGGCCUAACACAUGCAAGUCGAACGGCAGCACAGAAGAGCUUGCUCUUUGGGUGGCGAGUGGCGGACGGGUGAGUAAUGUCUGGGAAACUGCCCGAUGGAGGGGGAUAACUACUGGAAACGGUAGCUAAUACCGCAUAACGUCGCAAGACCAAAGUGGGGGACCUUCGGGCCUCACACCAUCGGAUGUGCCCAGAUGGGAUUAGCUAGUAGGUGGGGUAAUGGCUCACCUAGGCGACGAUCCCUAGCUGGUCUGAGAGGAUGACCAGCCACACUGGAACUGAGACACGGUCCAGACUCCUACGGGAGGCAGCAGUGGGGAAUAUUGCACAAUGGGCGCAAGCCUGAUGCAGCCAUGCCGCGUGUAUGAAGAAGGCCUUCGGGUUGUAAAGUACUUUCAGCGGGGAGGAAGGCGGUGAGGUUAAUAACCUCGCCGAUUGACGUUACCCGCAGAAGAAGCACCGGCUAACUCCGUGCCAGCAGCCGCGGUAAUACGGAGGGUGCAAGCGUUAAUCGGAAUUACUGGGCGUAAAGCGCACGCAGGCGGUCUGUUAAGUCAGAUGUGAAAUCCCCGGGCUUAACCUGGGAACUGCAUUUGAAACUGGCAGGCUUGAGUCUCGUAGAGGGGGGUAGAAUUCCAGGUGUAGCGGUGAAAUGCGUAGAGAUCUGGAGGAAUACCGGUGGCGAAGGCGGCCCCCCUGGACGAAGACUGACGCUCAGGUGCGAAAGCGUGGGGAGCAAACAGGAUUAGAUACCCCUGGUAGUCCACGCCGUAAACGAUGUCGACUUGGAGGUUGUGCCCUUGAGGCGUGGCUUCCGGAGCUAACGCGUUAAGUCGACCGCCUGGGGAGUACGGCCGCAAGGUUAAAACUCAAAUGAAUUGACGGGGGCCCGCACAAGCGGUGGAGCAUGUGGUUUAAUUCGAUGCAACGCGAAGAACCUUACCUGGCCUUGACAUCCAGAGAACUUAGCAGAGAUGCUUUGGUGCCUUCGGGAACUCUGAGACAGGUGCUGCAUGGCUGUCGUCAGCUCGUGUUGUGAAAUGUUGGGUUAAGUCCCGCAACGAGCGCAACCCUUAUCCUUUGUUGCCAGCGGUUCGGCCGGGAACUCAAAGGAGACUGCCGGUGAUAAACCGGAGGAAGGUGGGGAUGACGUCAAGUCAUCAUGGCCCUUACGGCCAGGGCUACACACGUGCUACAAUGGCGCAUACAAAGAGAAGCGACCUCGCGAGAGCAAGCGGACCUCAUAAAGUGCGUCGUAGUCCGGAUUGGAGUCUGCAACUCGACUCCAUGAAGUCGGAAUCGCUAGUAAUCGUAGAUCAGAAUGCUACGGUGAAUACGUUCCCGGGCCUUGUACUCACCGCC
This 1394-nucleotide ribosomal RNA is filed under the name uncultured bacterium. Its description in RNAcentral is "bacterial SSU rRNA". It matches the Rfam family "Bacterial small subunit ribosomal RNA". The record is from RNAcentral.